Penicillium griseofulvum is the source of this 101-nucleotide transfer RNA. It matches the Rfam family "tRNA". From Rfam's summary of the family: Transfer RNA (tRNA) molecules are approximately 80 nucleotides in length. Their secondary structure includes four short double-helical elements and three loops (D, anti-codon, and T loops). Lineage: Eukaryota; Fungi; Ascomycota; Eurotiomycetes; Eurotiales; Aspergillaceae. The record is from Rfam.
GGCACUUUGGCGGAGUGGCCUAACGCGGUGCCCUGCUAUGCACGAAAGUGUAAGCCUAGGCAUUUCCUUCGGGAGCGUGAGUUCGAAUCUCACAGGUGUCG